RNA transcript from Rhododendron vialii, 4633 nucleotides. It is a transcript of the gene named pentatricopeptide repeat-containing protein At3g26540, with no coding region annotated. The record is from RefSeq and is a predicted model, not a curated record. NCBI's taxonomy places the organism in Eukaryota, Viridiplantae, Streptophyta, Magnoliopsida, Ericales, Ericaceae. The transcript is spliced from 6 exons.
CUCUCUCACUGCUCGUUCGUCUUCAGUCGUUCGUCUGAAUCGUCUCUGGGUGACUGGGGUUCUCCUUCGACCGUCUCUCUCUGUCAGCCGUUGUGAUCUGGUUGUGGAGCUCAUGAGAGUGGAAGAAUCUUGAUGGAUUUACUGGUCCUUUGUUAGAUGGGAGGAGUCAACCAUAACUAGGGUAGUUGGUUUAGGUGGAAGCAUAGGUAAUUGUUCUUCAUUCGGUUUCUUUGUUUGUUAUUCUGUAACCAUAAAAAUUGCUCGAUUCUUCAGGAAUUCAGUGACUUAAAAUAUGGUGAUCGUAUCCUCGACUAAGAAUGUUUGAGCAGUUGAUUGGGUUUGCAUUCAAUUUUUGUUGGGAAGUGCCUUAGUAUGUUCCAUGGGUCAAUGAAUGCUGCCUCUGCAGUAAACAGGGUUCUCCGCAACAAAAUCCACAAGCCCAGAACCCUACAGUCCAACGCUGAAGAGCUAACCAACUCAAUCCUCGCAAACCUCAACUCCGGCCACCUCCGAAAAGCAGUCUCUAUCCUUUUCAAUUCCCCUGUACCCUUCUCUUUCUCUCUCUACGCCCAUCUCUUCCAGCUUUGUACGGCUAGACAAGCAAUUGUCGAGGCUCGAAAGGUCGAAUCCCACUUGGUCUCAUUUUGUCCAAAUCCACCAUUGUUUUUACUGAACCGGGCAAUCGAGACCUAUGGUAGAUGUGGGUGCUUGCGUGAUGCACGGGAGCUGUUUGACGAAAUGCCUCGGAGGGAUGGGGGUUCUUGGAAUGCAAUGAUUACGGCUUAUACACAAUGUGGCUGUCCUGAGAAAGCAUUGGGUAUGUUCUUGCGCAUGAAUAGGUUAGGAGUUUCCGCAAAUGAGGUUACAUUUGCUAGUGCUCUUGGGUCAUGCGCUGCACUCUUGGCUAUUGUUUUAUCGAGGCAAAUACACGGGAUGAUUGUGAAAUGUGGGUUUACAGGGAAUGUCAUUUUAGAGAGCUCUCUUGUGGAUGUGUAUGGGAAAUGCCGGGUUAUGAGUGAUGCAAGGAAGAUGUUCGAUGAGAUUCAAAACCCAAAUGCCAUAUCCUGGAAUGUGAUCGUCAGGCGGUAUCUUGAGAUGGGUCAAGAAAGAGAGGCCGUGUUUAUGUUUUCAGAGAUGAUACGAGUUCAUGUUAAGCCAUUACAUUUUACUGUGUCUAAUUCUCUCAUUGCUUGUUCUAGAAUUGCUGCCAUCCUUGAGGGGAUCCAAAUUCAUGGGCUUGUAAUUAAGACUAACAUUGAAGAGGAUGAGAUGGUUAUAAGCUCUCUCAUUCAUAUGUAUGUGAAAUGCGGAGAGUUAGAGAGUGCUUGCAAAAUAUUUGACCUGCCCAGUUCUAAGAAUAUGAUUAAUUGGACUUGUAUGGUAUCAGGGUAUUCGCUGAAUGGGAGAACUCAAAAAGCAAGGGAGCUCUUUAAUGAGAUGCCAGAGCGGAGUGUGAUCUCGUGGAAUACAAUGUUGUCAGGGUACGCACGUUCCUUCCAAUGGGAUGAGGCCUUGGACUUUGUUUUUGUAAUGCUGAAGGAAUCUAAGGACAUUGACUAUGUCACUCUUGGUUUAAUUCUAAAUGUCUGUGCUGGGCUUUCCGAUGUUGAACUUGGGAAACAGGUUCAUGGGUUUAUCUAUAGACAUGGUUUCUAUUCCAAUCUUUUUGUUGGCAAUGCCCUUCUUGACAUGUAUGGUAAAUGUGGAAAUGUAAAAAGUGCUAGAGUUUGGUUCUACGAAAUGAGUCAUUGGCGAGAUAGAGUUUCUUGGAAUGCUCUUUUGACUAGCUAUUCUCAUCAUGGUUUGAGUGAAGUAGCAAUGACCAUGUUCUGGGAGAUGCAAGGGGAGACAAAGGCUAGUAAAUUUACUUUUGGGACCCUUUUGUCCACUUGUGCAAAUACUUUUGCACUUGAGCCAGGAAGACAAAUCCAUGGGUUCAUGAUUAGAAAUGGUUAUGAGAUAGAUGUUGUUAUCAGGGGAGCUCUGGUUGACAUGUAUUCGAAAUGCCGUUGUCUCGAGUAUGCUUUCAAGGUUUUUGAGGAAGCAACUUGGCGAGAUGUGAUUCUUUGGAACUCCAUGGUUAUGGGAUGUUGUCACAAUAGAAGGGGUGAAGUCGCACUUGAACUGUUUGGAUUGAUGGAGAAAGAAGGCGUAGAGCCAGACCAUAUCACCUUUCAAGGGAUAUUGCUAGCUUGUGUUUCUGAGGGCCGUGUAGAGUUGGGUACACAGUAUUUCAAUUCAAUGAACACAAGAUAUUGUGUAAUUCCUCGCUUGGAGCAUUACGAGUGCAUGAUAGAACUCUACAGCAGGUAUGGAUUCAUGGAUGAGCUCGAGGAUUUUGUCAAGACAAUGCCAUUUGACCCUACUGUCCCAAUGUUAACUAGAGUGUUUGAUGCCUGUAGAGAACACAGGUACUUGAAGUUAGGGGAAUGGGCUGCCAAUAAAGUAAAUGAAACGAACCCGUCAGUUCCAUUCCGGUUUGAAUUCAUGGACAAUGGUAGAUAGAUUGGGAACUAAGGGUGCAGAUUGAGCCAGCCUAUAUUCAGAAUUCAUCUUUGCAGUCUUGGAGACAGUAGCUGUUGGAUCUGAUUUUUCAAGAUUCUAAGAGUCUCAAGAAGAAGUCUGCAGGGAGGACAGUUUUAUGUGAAGUCCAAGUAUUUGAAACCAGGCUCGGUAUGGCUAGAUGUUCAUCAAGUUUGUGCAUUUACUAUAUUCGACUACAACCUUAAGGUCCUUAACAAUGCUAGCAUAAGCCUCGACAUAGGUGUGGUGAAAUCCCCUAUAAACAGCAGCCGACGACUCCGAAGAAGCAGCCGGAGCAGGUCUUGAAAGGGCAUUUCAGAUGGCAAAGAGAGGUGAAAUCGUAGGAGGAGAUGCGGAGGGAGUAGGACUUGCACACGCACCUGAGUCGGAGGGAUUCUGCGUGGAGGAGAGUGAGGAUGUUGAAUAAGGGUUUGCGAGGGAGGUUGUUGGACAUAGAGUGAAAACUAUGAAGUGGCGACCAAUAAAGUAGUACCUUUUUCUGACAUUUGAGAGAGAGAGAGAGAGAGAGAGAGAGAGAGAGAGAGAGAGAGAGAGAGAGAGAGAGAUUUGCAAGCUCUUCGAAUCUGUCGGAGGACGAUAAGCCAGUGAUUUUUAGGGUUAGGCACAAAGCUUACCAGGUUCAAUUCUCAGAUAAAUUGAUUAUCAAACCAACUCUGCGACACCUUCUCAGUUGCCAAACAGUAAGGCUUCAGAAUCCGCAUAAUGCUAUUGUCUCACAGUUUUGUCUCCUUUCACUUUUAUCAUUCGGUUUUAAGCUUCAGAACUAAAAACUCGAAUCAAAUCUGUUAAAUUCUUAAUCUUACAGCUUCUAUGGUGUUACUCGCCCAGCCUUGUCUCUUUAUUGUGAAUUUCAUGUCUUCGUUGCUUUGAUGUUUCAGAAUCAAAUCUUGAUCCUCUCUCAAAUUGUUUAACGUGUUUUGUCCCUCUUCUCAUGACCCUAUUUGGUCGAUGUCACUUCCAGAUUUCUUUGUUGUUUUUAGAAUUUGAUUCUUUUGAUGGUUGUUAAUAAGAUUUACUGACAAUGAGAAGGGAAAAAUGAAUUUUUAAGAAGCUAGCUAUUUUUUAGAUUUCUGAAUUGAUACGUAUCAUAUGCUGUAACUAUAUUGCUCGGCUCAGCUUAUGAAUACAGAGAUAGGUUCUCGGUCCUUAAUUAACCAAGUCCGUCUAUCCUUAUAUGUUAGAGGUUGUUUUGAGAUCUUGGUAUUCUGAUGGAUUCCAUUACUUCAUCGUUUUUAGAAUAUACAGUAUGGUAUUACAAAUAGCCAUUACUUAUAUUUACUUCAGUUGGUUAUCUUAUGUGAUGAGGUGGUGUAGCAAUCGAUUUUCAUCAGUAAAUCAUACUGAAUUUGGAAGAGGCUUACUUUAAUGGAGCUUUUCCCCCUCCCUUAUAGGAUAAUUUUGUCCCGCGGUUUUAUUGAUGGUCUUUGAGAUGCCACAGAGCAAGGUUGUGAAGGGCUGUUGAGUGUAAACCAAUUUAGAACAUGGCUUCUUGUGUGAGGAAAGCAUAUGUAUUGACAGUGGCUAAGAAAGAGACGCAUUGCAUUGGCUUCCAUCCAAGUAAACAUCAAUCUAAUACACAGGCUUCCAAAAGCCAAUGGUGUGAAAGCUGCGUGAGACAAACUAGGGAUCCUUUCGAACACAUAAUCGGCUCCAUAUGCUCAAGGUAUUUGGGGGUUGUUAGUGUCUAUAUUACAUUAUCAACUGAUUUAUCACCAAUAGAUCCAACAUUCAAGGCAUCUCCUGGGAUAGAGAGAAGACACUGUGACGAUUGUUCUACAUGGCUCACUGUGAGAAGAGAACAACUACAUGAUAUCCUUGAUGGACAAACUAUGCUAGAUGAAAUCAAUAAUGAAUUACGUUUUUUUUACUGCUAUUAAUUUUGUCUGUUACAAUUUUAAGUUUGCAAUGGAGAGAUGGUAAAGUAUCUGAUGCUGUAACCUUUUUACUAGGGUGAGUUUUCUUUUCUUGAGCCCUUUUCCUAAGAGGAUGGGAGUGUUCUUUUUCAGUCAAUAAUGCGGACUUGAUCUAUGCAACAGGGUGUACAUGAAGAUCCUUUAACUUGUCUUAUCUGAUUUCUUUCUUGAGAUCA